This 312-nucleotide ribosomal RNA is filed under the name uncultured bacterium. RNAcentral's name for it is "bacterial SSU rRNA". It matches the Rfam family "Bacterial small subunit ribosomal RNA", at positions 164 to 507 of the family's 1533-position model. The record is from RNAcentral.
UAAUACCGCAUAAUACCCACGGGUCAAAGGAGCAAUUCGCUUGAGGAGGAGGUCGCGGCCCGAUUAGUUAGUUGCGGGGUAAUGGCCCCACCAAGACGGUGAUCGGUAUCCGGCCUGAGAGGGCGCACGGACACACUGGAACUGAAACACGGUCCAGACUCCUACGGGAGGCAGCAGUGGGGAAUUUUGCGCAAUGGGGGAAACCCUGACGCAGCAACGCCGCGUGGAGGAUGAAGUCUCUUGGGACGUAAACUCCUUUCGAUCGGGACGAUUAUGACGGUACCGGAAGAAGAAGCCCCGGCUAACUUCGUG